CCCUUCAAGGCCACACCCCCAAUGACCUAACUUCCUUCCCCUAGGCCACACCUCCCAAGGUCUCUCCCCUCCCAAUAGCACCACAAGCUGGCAACUAAGCCCCCAGCAUAUAGGCUUUUGGGUGACAUUUAAGCUCCAAACCACAGCAAGAGGUGAAAGUGUUGAACAUUUUAUUAAGUUUUAAAAGCUUUACAUUUGUGAUACACUAAGAAACAGCAGUGCCGCUUCUCAAAGACAUUUUCUUUCAGUGCGUGGGUAAGGGCUUUAGGAUUUGUGGAGUACUGCUAUUAUUUUGUUAUAUUCUUCACGCAUUCACGUCCUAGGUCCAGGCCUGGGAACAGUAUGCCAUCUUCUUCCUUCAGGGAACACAAACAGUUAUAACUCCAGAUCCCAGCAUGGUGUUGCUGCACAUUUGACUCUACAACAUCAAGGGUGGGCUAGAGUUUGUUCUCAGGUGAGGAGGCCUUGAGCUUCCUCAGAGUAGAGGCUGAAGGAGGGAAGCAUGAAACCACUUCUCAUAGUGGGCCUAGAAUGCAGUUGUGCACGGGUGGUAAAGUAUACAUAACAAACUCUAGCAUCUUAACUAUGUAUACACAGAUUGUUCUGUGGCAUUAAGAAUAUUCUCAUGGGCUGGGAUUGUAGCUCAGUGGUACAGUGCUUGCCUCGCACAUGUGAGGCACUGGGUUCGAUCCUCAGUACCACAUAAAAAUAAAGGUAAUGUGUCCAUCUACAACUAAAAAUUAAAAAAAAAAAGAACAUUCACUUGGUUAUAUAGCUAUCACCACCAUCCACCUCCAGAACUUUUUCAAUUUGCAAAUCUGAAACUCUCCCCACAUUCAACACUGACUUUCCCAUUUCCCCUCCACUCCGACCCUAG
This 877-nucleotide long non-coding RNA is filed under the name Marmota monax (woodchuck). The record is from RNAcentral. Lineage: Eukaryota; Metazoa; Chordata; Mammalia; Rodentia; Sciuridae.